AUUGAACGCUGGCGGCAUGCCUUACACAUGCAAGUCGAACGGCAGCACGGGACUCGGGCAACUGAGCCCUGGUGGCGAGUGGCGAACGGGUGAGUAAUGCAUCGGAACGUGCCCAGUAGUGGGGGAUAACUAGUCGAAAGAUUAGCUAAUACCGCAUACGACCUAUGGGUGAAAGCGGGGGAUUUUCGGGCAACCGAGAACCUCGCGCUAUCGGAGCGGCCGAUGUCNGAUUAGCUAGUUGGCGGGGUAAAAAGCCCACCAAGGCUUCGAUCAGUAGCUGGUCUGAGAGGACGACCAGCCACACUGGGACUGAGACACGGCCCAGACUCCUACGGGAGGCAGC
This 343-nucleotide ribosomal RNA is filed under the name uncultured bacterium. Its description in RNAcentral is "bacterial SSU rRNA". It matches the Rfam family "Bacterial small subunit ribosomal RNA", at positions 30 to 352 of the family's 1533-position model. The record is from RNAcentral.